This 328-nucleotide ribosomal RNA is filed under the name uncultured eukaryote. RNAcentral describes it as "partial 18S ribosomal RNA". It matches the Rfam family "Eukaryotic small subunit ribosomal RNA", at positions 1470 to 1796 of the family's 1831-position model. The record is from RNAcentral.
CCCUUAGAUGUUCUGGGCCGCACGCGCGCUACACUGUUCGACGCAGCGAGUCUUAACCUUGACCGAAAGGUUUGGGUAAUCUUGUGAAACUCUGUCGUGCUGGGGAUAGAGCAUUGCAAUUAUUGCUCUUCAACGAGGAAUUCCUAGUAAGCGUAAGUCAUCAGCUUGCGUUGAUUACGUCCCUGCCCUUUGUACACACCGCCCGUCGCUACUACCGAUUGAAUGGCUUAGUGAGGCCUCCGGAUUGGCUUUGGGGAGCCGGCAACGGCACCUCAUGGCUGAGAAGUUGGUCAAACUUGGUCAUUUAGAGGAAGUAAAAGUCGUAACA